GACGAACGCUGUCGGCGUGCUUAACACAUGCAAGUCGAACGGAAAGGCCCUGCUUUUGUGGGGUGCUCGAGUGGCGAGCGGGUGAGUAACACGUGAGUAACCUGCCCUUGACUUUGGGAUAACUUCAGGAAACUGGGGCUAAUACCGGAUAGGAGCUCCUGCUGCAUGGUGGGGGUUGGAAAGUUUCGGCGGUUGGGGAUGGACUCGCGGCUUAUCAGCUUGUUGGUGGGGUAGUGGCUUACCAAGGCUUUGACGGGUAGCCGGCCUGAGAGGGUGACCGGCCACAUUGGGACUGAGAUACGGCCCAGACUCCUACGGGAGGCAGCAGUGGGGAAUAUUGCACAAUGGGCGGAAGCCUGAUGCAGCAACGCCGCGUGCGGGAUGACGGCCUUCGGGUUGUAAACCGCUUUCGCCUGUGACGAAGCGUGAGUGACGGUAAUGGGUAAAGAAGCACCGGCUAACUACGUGCCAGCAGCCGCGGUGAUACGUAGGGUGCGAGCGUUGUCCGGAUUUAUUGGGCGUAAAGGGCUCGUAGGUGGUUGAUCGCGUCGGAAGUGUAAUCUUGGGGCUUAACCCUGAGCGUGCUUUCGAUACGGGUUGACUUGAGGAAGGUAGGGGAGAAUGGAAUUCCUGGUGGAGCGGUGGAAUGCGCAGAUAUCAGGAGGAACACCAGUGGCGAAGGCGGUUCUCUGGGCCUUUCCUGACGCUGAGGAGCGAAAGCGUGGGGAGCGAACAGGCUUAGAUACCCUGGUAGUCCACGCCGUAAACGGUGGGUACUAGGUGUGGGGUCCAUUCCACGGGUUCCGUGCCGUAGCUAACGCUUUAAGUACCCCGCCUGGGGAGUACGGCCGCAAGGCUAAAACUCAAAGGAAUUGACGGGGCCCCGCACAAGCGGCGGAGCAUGCGGAUUAAUUCGAUGCAACGCGUAGAACCUUACCUGGGUUUGACAUGGAUCGGGAGUGCUCAGAGAUGGGUGUGCCUCUUUUGGGGUCGGUUCACAGGUGGUGCAUGGCUGUCGUCAGCUCGUGUCGUGAGAUGUUGGGUUAAGUCCCGCAACGAGCGCAACCCUUGUUCACUGUUGCCAGCACGUUAUGGUGGGGACUCAGUGGAGACCGCCGGGGUCAACUCGGAGGAAGGUGGGGAUGACGUCAAGUCAUCAUGCCCCUUAUGUCCAGGGCUUCACGCAUGCUACAAUGGCUGGUACAGAGAGUGGCGAGCCUGUGAGGGUGAGCGAAUCUCGGAAAGCCGGUCUCAGUUCGGAUUGGGGUCUGCAACUCGACCUCAUGAAGUCGGAGUCGCUAGUAAUCGCAGAUCAGCAACGCUGCGGUGAAUACGUUCCCGGG
This 1343-nucleotide ribosomal RNA is filed under the name uncultured bacterium. Its description in RNAcentral is "16S ribosomal RNA". It matches the Rfam family "Bacterial small subunit ribosomal RNA", at positions 28 to 1378 of the family's 1533-position model. The record is from RNAcentral.